Aegilops tauschii subsp. strangulata is the source of this 557-nucleotide non-coding RNA. The record is from RefSeq and is a predicted model, not a curated record. NCBI's taxonomy places the organism in Eukaryota, Viridiplantae, Streptophyta, Magnoliopsida, Poales, Poaceae.
GGCCCUGUGGCAUAUCGUUGGAUGUAUGUUUUUGAGAGGGCAAUGCACUAUCUUCGUUUAAAAGUGCGAAACAAGGCAAGAGUGGAGGGUUCAAUCGUUGAAGCUUGUAUUGUGCACGAGAUCACGAAUUGUGUUUCUCUUUACUUUAGUGAUCACGUUCGCACUAUAUGGAAGAAGAAUCCUCGAUAUAAUAAUGGAGGAACACGCGUGCAAAAUGAUGGUUGCACCUUAGAUGUGUUUCAGCAUGUAGGAAACCUACAUGGGAGGCCUAUUGCCCGAGAACUAUCGCGUGACGAGUUGAAUGCAGCAAGGCUGUACAUUUUGACUAACUCUGUUGUUGAUAGAUUUCGUGAGUAAGUGAUGAAUAAUUUGUAAUUUUAGAAUUGAAGUGUGCAAGAUGUUUAUAAUCAUACGCGGAUUUGCAGAACAUUUGAAGAUGAAAAGUAUGCAAGUCAUCCAAACUUGACAUCGGAGGGCCUUGAUGAAAUGAUGGCAUCCGAAUUUGUGGAAUGGUUCGAGAUUGCUUGCAAAGAAGAUCCCAAUUCUGAUGAGGACUU